CUUCCUUCAUGAAGGAUCUGGAUAACCCUGAGUUCUACUGGAGGCUUCCGUCAGAGGCUUCCACAGUGACCAUUCUGGGGAAAAGAUAGAUUGCCUGUAAUUUUCAGACCAAGAAGGAAGACCAAGAGAACUGUGGAGACACUGGCCCUGUCAUCACAGAUCCACAGAAACAAUGCUGUCAGCCACAGGUGUGAAUUCUUGGGCAUAGGACUAUGAUCAUCCAUCAGGAGCUUUGCCAUGGACCUUCUGCAGAACACUGUGGAACCUUGUCCUCCUGCUGUGACGAGACUUGGAUUAAUUCAGUCUGCAGAAUGACUGACUGAACGAAAAAUUCCACCGUAAAUCAUGAGAAAUAGCAAGAGUCUCAUAGACCAAACACCACUCUACUACCAACUCAGGAGCUUGGAGCUUGGAGCAACUAGAAAUACUUCCACCCCAGGAAUUUCCAGGACAUCUGGUAAGUCAACAACA
Non-coding RNA from Ictidomys tridecemlineatus (thirteen-lined ground squirrel), 471 nucleotides. Lineage: Eukaryota; Metazoa; Chordata; Mammalia; Rodentia; Sciuridae. The record is from RefSeq and is a predicted model, not a curated record.